RNAcentral lists this transfer RNA (56 nucleotides) under Rattus norvegicus (Norway rat). It matches the Rfam family "tRNA", at positions 9 to 63 of the family's 71-position model. Rfam says of the family: Transfer RNA (tRNA) molecules are approximately 80 nucleotides in length. Their secondary structure includes four short double-helical elements and three loops (D, anti-codon, and T loops). Further hydrogen bonds mediate the characteristic L-shaped molecular structure. tRNAs have two regions of fundamental functional importance: the anti-codon, which is responsible for specific mRNA codon recognition, and the 3' end, to which the tRNAs corresponding amino acid is attached (by aminoacyl-tRNA synthetases). tRNAs cope with the degeneracy of the genetic code in two manners: having more than one tRNA (with a specific anti-codon) for a particular amino acid; and 'wobble' base-pairing, i.e. permitting non-standard base-pairing at the 3rd anti-codon position. The record is from Rfam by way of RNAcentral. Lineage: Eukaryota; Metazoa; Chordata; Mammalia; Rodentia; Muridae.
AGCUCAGUGGUAGAGCAUUUGCCUUGCAAGCCUAAGGCCCUGGGUUCGGUCCCCAG